UCCAAAAAUUAGUCCCAGUUCAGAUUGCAGGCUGCAACUCGCCUGCAUGAAGUCGGAAUUGCUAGUAAUCGUGGAUCAGCAUGCCACGGUGAAUACGGUUCCCGGGCCUUGUACACACCGCCCGUCACACCAUGGGAGCCGGUAAUACCCGAAGUCAGUAGUCCAACCUCGUGAGGACGCUGCCGAAGGUAGGAUUGGCGACUGGGGUGAAGUCGUAACAAGGUACC
Molecule: ribosomal RNA, 227 nt
Filed under: uncultured bacterium
Lineage: Bacteria
Description: partial 16S ribosomal RNA
Rfam family: Bacterial small subunit ribosomal RNA
Source: RNAcentral